GACGAACGCUGGCGGCGUGCUUAACACAUGCAAGUCGAACGGAAAGGCCCUGCUUUUGUGGGGUACUCGAGUGGCGAACGGGUGGGUAACACGUGAGUAACCUGCCCUUGCCUUUGGGAUAACUUCAGGAAACUGAGGAUAAUACCGGCUAGGAGCGCCCGCUGCUUGGCGGGGGGUGGAAAGGUACGGCGGUUGGGGCUGGUCUGCCGGCUUAUCAGCUUGUAGGUGGGGUAGUGGCUUACCAAGGCUUUGACGGGUAGCCGGCCUGGGAGGGUGACCGGCCACAGUGGGACUGAGGUACGGCCCAGACGGCUACGGGCGGCAGCAGUGGGGGAUAUUGCGCAAUGGGCGGAAGCCGGAUGCAGCAACUCCGCGUGCGAGAUGACGGCCUUCGGGUAGGAAACCGCUUUCGCCUGUGACGAAGCGUGAGUGACGGUAAUGGGUAAAAAAGCACCGGCUAACUACGUG
RNAcentral lists this ribosomal RNA (468 nucleotides) under uncultured bacterium. Its description in RNAcentral is "partial 16S ribosomal RNA". It matches the Rfam family "Bacterial small subunit ribosomal RNA", at positions 28 to 507 of the family's 1533-position model. The record is from RNAcentral.